AACGGUCUAUACCUGCGGUACCUGCGGAGGGAUCAUUAAUGAGAAGCUGCCCCUCGUGGGUAGACCUCCCACCCUCUGUGAACUUACCUUUGUUGCUUUGGCAGGCCCGUCCUCUGGACCGCCGGCUUCGGCUGGCCCGUGCCUGCCAGAGGAUUCCAAACCCUGUCUGUCAGUGUUGUCUGAGUCUAUAUGAAAUCGUUAAAACUUUCAACAAUGGAUCUCUAGAUCGGAAGAGCACAC
RNAcentral lists this unclassified non-coding RNA (240 nucleotides) under soil metagenome. Its description in RNAcentral is "partial contains 5.8S ribosomal RNA, internal transcribed spacer 2, and large subunit ribosomal RNA". The record is from RNAcentral.